AGUGGUUUGUUGCAUACAUGCCGUUGCAUAGAGUUUAUGCUUGAAAAAUUAAUUUAUUGUCCAAAAUAUGCCUAGGGUUGAUCCCAAUUUCAUCUCCCCAAAAUACCAAAAGUAUUUUGCCAACAUCCUACAAAAAUCUAGCAUGACCUGCUCUCUCUCUCUCCUUGUUUUCUUUCUCGAGCUCUUAGUUAUAUUGGUGUCCAUGAAUUUUUUUUUGGGUCAAUCCAACCUAGUCCAAAUUCUCUCAUUUUCCCAAUGUAUCAUUAACAUCUUUCUCUAGCGUUGGGUCAAGCACAACUCAGCUCAACACACCUCUCUCUCUUUCUCCCAACUCUUAGCUGCCCCUAUCUCCCUCUCUCUUUCACAUCAACAUGCAGCUCUCGCAUACAUGGUGUCACCCUCGUCUUUCCCCCAAUGCAGAAAUAAUAGAAGCACAUAAUGCCUCCUUUAAUCUUUUGGACCAAGCAACAAUAAUCAUUAUAAUUCCACUCUCUAAUUUCCCUUCUUAUCUCAAUAUUGAUAUGCAUUGUAAAGAACAGCUCCUCCAUCACUAGCUACAUCCUUUUGCUGCUCACAUGCCCCUAUUUUGCCCAUGCAAAAUAAACAGCCCUCAAAGCUUGUUACUUCCCCUUAAUUUCAUCUCUAAAUAGUAUGGGUAAACAUUAGGCAUGCUUCAUCCUCUCCCAUUCAUUUCUGCAUGCAUACAUGCAACAUAGAUGCAUUAUUUUCUCUCCUCCCUCUUUUCAUCACGCAGAUUAGAUGGACAUACCUACUAAGUCGGUAUCCCCUCUUAUGCUGUCCCCUUCUCCUCCUUCAUGCAAGAAUUAUAUCUACAUCAAUUCCCUUCUCUUAAUUUCCUGCCUCAUCACAUUUGCAUGCCUCUCUAAUUACAAGAUUAAAAGCUGAUGAACAGCCAUCCCCCCUCCUCUGCUGAACACGCCAAUCCCUUCUCAUGCGAAAAAUACAUGCAUCUCCUCUUUAGCUCUCUUAAUUCCCUAGACAAAACUCUUUUAAGAGUGCUUCUUUAUUCCACCAAUUUAUUAUUUUUUUCUUCAUCUUGCAAGUAUGCAGCAGCACUACUGCAUCAAGAUGUUGCCCCCUCUCCUCUUCUGGUGCCGACCCCUACCUUUUCCUUAAUGCAAACAGCAGCACUUAAUCCAUUGGCUCACCUUCUUUACAUGCCCCUCAUCAAUCUCUCUUAUCUCUCUCCCCCUUAGUGCAUGAGCUUAACAACACAAAAUUUUUAGGCAUCAAUGGCAUGCAGCCAUUUAUCAUCCCUGGACGCCCUACUCUCCCUCAGCUCUUCAUGCAAAAAUAACAACCACAAAUAAUUGUCAUAUCUAAAUUGCUGGACCUAUCUCUCUUUAUUCACCCUCCUAAUCUCUCCCUCUUAUUUUUACAUAGUUACUCAUUUGAAGAGCAUGGCCUGCAUAGCCGGCCUCCACAUUUUCUUUUCUGCUGCUCUCACGCCACUCUCUACACCCCAUGCAAAAAUCAGAUGGAUCAAUUCCUUCAUCUCUUAUUUCACAAGGACCACCUCUCUCAAGAGUGCUCAUUUAGUCCAUUAUUUACUCUCUUAAUUUUUCAAAUGCAUGCAUGCAUUCUUUCACGUGGAGAAGCCUUCCCUCUCCUCUCUAUGGCACUGCCUUCUCUCUUUACACUCACUCAAAAAUACCAUCAGCAUCUGAUUUUUCCUCCCUUAAUUCCCAUGGUCACACAUCCCUCUUUAUUCCUCUAUUGGCAGCACUACUUUACUCCAUUGCUUUCAAUUGCAUGCAUGCACAUAAACAACCAGCCAUACCCCCUCCUCUUUUUCUCACGCAGAAACCAGCAGCACCUCUUUAACUCCUUUUUGAUGGCACCAAUUUUUACUCCAAUUUACUUCACUCCAUUUGCAUGCUCUCAUGCAGCAAACAACAGCUAUAAAACCCCCUCAUCCCCUCCUCUCUCCCUCACGCAAGCACCAGAGAAGGAGCAUCCCAUCUCCUCCCCUCCCUCCAUCAGAUGGGCGCCCCUCAUCCUCUCCUUUUCCCCAUGGCUGCAGCCCCAAAUCCCUCAAAUUCUUCUCCAACAAAAUGGAACCACAUGAUCAAUCAGAGUAUGUUAUGCCGCUGGUUCUAUCUGCUUCUAGGCAUGACAGCAACAAUUGGUGAGAUUUUCUCCUUGUUGUUCAUCUCUUAUAUAUCCCCUUGCUGAUCUCAUCAAAUCACAGGACCUCAAGGAAUUCCUCAUGAUAAUCCCUAAUGUACAGAGAUGAGGUUGUGCUUCCUAUUGAACUCCAUGCAGUGAUAUUCCUCGCUUCUUAUCGUGGUUUGCCGCCGUUGCUACUACUGCUGUGCAGCAUGGUGAGGAGACUCCAACUCCUCCACUCUCACCUACAUGGUCACCCUAUCUUCUUCCUCUAAUUUCCUCUCCUCCCUUUUUAUGAAAUUGCAGUACCCUGGCUGCGAUGAAUCCGUUAUGCCACUGCACAUAUUUUCCCGUCGCUGGAAUCCAGGAAUCAUUUGCAUUGUGCUGCGGUAAGGGUCAUGGUUUUCUCUGUUUUUGCUGAGAAACUCAUGUUCAUCAUGUCCCCUCCUUGUUGUGACCUUUCAAGGAAAUACCAUGCUGCUGCAGUGCUUCAUGGAGGCCAUCUCAAUGUGCCGUGUCGCCUUCCGAAACCAGCAGCACAUCCCAUCGAUUGUCGACUGUUUUGCUGUCCAUUAUUGGCGUUUGUCGCCAUCGAGAUCAUGUCCAGCAACCAUGAACCUCAAUGUGAGCCCCUCUCCCCUGUCCCCAUCUUGUAUACAUAUUCUUUUCCAUAAAUCAUGAGCCAUAGUCCAAGUUUGAUCAAAUUAUGUCAAAAGUUUUCCCGCAAUCGUGUUGCUGUCCUUUUUGGACAGCAGUGCUAUUGCCGGUCAGCGUUCAUGUUCUCCAUUGAUCUGUCAAGCUAAAUGAUGAAUCCUUUGAAUAUAACAUCACUUAUAUAUUUGCAACGUCCCUGCAAAAUUUCAUAGCGAGAGACUUCAAGAUGAAAGAGAUAUAAUCGUCUUUUUAGUGUUUGCUGUCCCUGCUUUUUCAGCAGUGUUGUGCCUCUGUUUGGUAGUGAUGUUCCCAUAAUACAUUAGUCAAAUCAUCAAACCAUUCAUACAGCAUGUGUGUCCUAUCCUUGCACAUGCCUCUGCAAAGUUUCAUGGCUAUAGGAUCAAAUGUGGAAGAGAUAUAAUCCUAUAUUUUGCUCACUGUCCCUGCUGCCCUGCAGCAGAGUUCCAGCUGGUUGGCAUGCAUAUUCCCGAUGUUCCAUCACUCCAGUGACUGUGUCCUUCAACCACAAUGUGUCCUAUAUUGUUGCACAUGCCUCUGAGAAAUUCCGUGGCUAUAGGAUUCUAGAUAAAAGAGAAAUGUUUCUAUCUUGUGCUUGCUGUCCCUGCUGUCCCGCAGCCGCGUUGAGACCAGUUGGCAUGUGUGUUCUCGUUGAAUCACCACUCUAGUGGUCAUGCCCAUUGAUCAUGGUGUAUAUCAAAUAUAUACACACAUCUCUGCAAGGUUUCUUGGUCAUGUGAACCACAACGCCCAAAAUAUAAGCAUCACAGUGUCGCUGCUCCUGUCAUGCCAACAGCCACGCAGUACCAUCUUGAAAUCUCAUUCCUCAGCUAUCAGAUGGUCAAAACAUCAUGUUCUUUUGCCACAACAUACUCCAUACAGUCCACAACAAGCCCACAAAAACGAUCUCAAUUUGGUGCUGCUAAGACCAUGUUCCUUGUAAUCAUAACCACCGCUGUCCGCACUGGGUUUGCUCAACCGGUGCGCAAAUCGUCAUCAUCGUGCUUCCCUUUUAUGUAACAUUUGAUCAGUGCAGCCACUAGUCAUAAUAUGUUCCAUGUAUUCUCUUCACAAAUUUAUAGUCAUCAACAAAUUAUCCAUAGAUCCUUGUGCUCCAUAAACCUUCCAACCACAUUCAUCAUCUUUAUUCCAUUCCUAUCAUUUAUCAAACCUUCCAACUUCUACCUUUGAACAUUCAUGUCUUUUAAACCAUAGCUCUAUUUAGUUGUUUAUGUGCUCAAACAUUCGUAGUUGCAAGCCUUACACGUUUAAAACCUUUGUGUCUUGUUUUAUAAUGCUUGAUGUAUUGUUUUUAGGUUUCUAUUAUGGUGCUUGUACCGGUUGAUUGCUAACGUUAGAAGAGGAUCUCUACAAGGAUGAUCAAGAAGUUGGAUAGCAAGAAUUUGGAAGGCAAGUGUAACAUGAGUACCCUUGUUACCUAAUAACUAUAUAAUCAUCUUUUCAUAUGCAUGUAUCUAAUUUGAUGAACCCCUAAGGACUUUACCUAGAACUAUUGUAUCUUGUAUCCUUGUUUACCCUGGGUUAUGCAUAUGGGUAGUUUUACUUAGUCCGCAAUCACCAAACUGUACAAUAUUAAUACUGAUUAAUGAUUAUGGAAUCAAUAUUAUAAUGAUGCUUUCUAGCAACAUGGAUAUCAGGGGGCAAGAGCAUUGGGCCUUUUGGGUGCUCUAGUCUGCUCUCCGUAAGGACUGAAUCUUAAAGCGGCCACCCAGGAUUUACCUUACAGCCAUGAGAGCUACAUGGCUCUGGCUUUAGCUUAGUAAACUGAACUUCUCUAACUUGUUAGUGGUUACCGAAAGGCGCAAGAGGGGGGUACCUCGUGGUGUAUAGUUGUUUUCCUACCUUGGUGUGUACAGUGCCGCGACCACAUGUGCCUCUUGGAGGAGGACACCUAUGCACACUUGCCAUUGAAACCUAGCGGCUACUAACUUGUUAGGGGGACUUUCGAAAGGCUUCAUAGUGAACCCUGCCGACUUACCUUGGAAGUGGGUCAAGAGGCUGAUCACCUCGGGCAUAUGGGUAACACGACUCAUGGUGAAAGUGUACAAGCUCUGCAGAGUGUUUUAAAACUGAUAUAUCAGUCGUGCUCACGGACACGAGCGGCCUGGAUCCUUUUUGAGAUAGAUGGUCCUGUGGAUGGUUUGGGUGAUCAUUAAUUUUGAUGAUAAUUAUUAUACUUCUCACCUUGGGAGCUUAAGCAUAACCUAGAAACAUAGGUCUAAUAAUAAAAUAUGACCAACUAAAAAUGCUUAUCGCAGUCAAACCAAGUCAAGCCUUUUGAGCCUUGCAUCCCCUCAUGUUAUACUUGUUGAGUAUGGUGCACUCACACUUGCUUUACAUUCAACAAUCAAAAAUCCCGGAUGGGUACCAGAUGGUGAUACAAAGGCGGAGCUCCCUGAGAUGUUCCAGGAGUACUAGGCGAGUGUACCCCCAAUCAACCGUCCCUAUGGAAAAUGGAGACCCAAAGUGAAGAUUAGGAUUAGUUUCCGCUAUGCUUUGUAAUAGAUGUAAGCCAUGUUGUAACUAUGUUUCGAUAUAUAAUAAAGCAUUGUUCUUGAUAUUCUCCAUAUUUGUCGCUAUAUGUGUCGUGUGGACAUCCUGGGCACACAUAUAGUUAGCGCUUGGUAUUCUUUGGAAAACCAGGUGUGACAGAUUGGUAUCAAAGCAAUAUUGACUGUAGGACGCUCAGCCUAGUUAGAAAUGGACGUUUUUACAAACAUAUUUUGAUAAAAACAUAUCCUGGCUUCCUCCUCCAUGAUAUUUUCUAAAAGAAAAACAAAAUUGUUUGCCGAAACCCCUUCUUUCUCCAAAAUCCAUGAAGAUGCCGGUGAAGUUGAAUAUUCUACGUCAAUAAUAAACAUCAUCACCAAAGUUCAGGGGCUCAUGCUUGUCUAUCCUAAUGCCUUUAGGAUGUUGUUAUCCUCAAGCGUCUACGUUAGUAACGAUGCUAAGGUGAGUGAUACUGUGCUAUCAUAAGGACCCUAUCAUGUUAGUGUGAUUUAGAUAGGUUGAUUGUUUUGUCAUGAUGAACUUGUAUGAUUUGGCUAUUUGUAAUGAGUGUAGCUUCAGCGAAUCUCGGGGCGAGAUUCCUAUUAAGGGGGGUAGAGUUGUCACACCCCAAAAUUUCCUACUUUGGAAUGUGACAUAGAAAACAGUAAAAACAAAGCCAAAGGUUUUAUGAUUUAUAAAAACUCCAACUUUAGUUAUGUUGUCAACAUUUUAGAUAGUUGAAAACUGUGGGUUUAAAAUUUUUGAAAUUCAACUUAGUGGUUUGUUGCAUACAUGCCGUUGCAUAGAGUUUAUGCUUGAAAAAUUAAUUUAUUGUCCAAAAUAUGCCUAGGGUUGAUCCCAAUUUCAUCUCCCCAAAAUACCAAAAGUAUUUUGCCAACAUCCUACAAAAAUCUAGCAUGACCUGCUCUCUCUCUCCUUGGUUUCUUUCUCGAGCUCUUAGUUAUAUUGGUGUCCAUGAAUUUUUUUGGGUCAAUCCAACCUAGUCCAAAUUCUCUCAUUUUCCCAAUGUAUCAUUAACAUCUUUCUCUAGCGUUGGGUCAAGCACAACUCAGCUCAACACACCUCUCUCUCUUUCUCCCAACUCUUAGCUGCCCCUAUCUCCCUCUCUCUUUCACAUCAACAUGCAGCUCUCGCAUACAUGGUGUCACCCUCGUCUUUCCCCCAAUGCAGAAAUAAUAGAAGCACAUAAUGCCUCCUUUAAUCUUUUGGACCAAGCAACAAUAAUCAUUAUAAUUCCACUCUCUAAUUUCCUUUCUUAUCUCAAUAUUGAUAUGCAUUGUAAAGAGCAGCUCCUCCAUCACUAGCUACAUCCUUUUGCUGCUCACAUGCCCCUAUUUUGCCCAUGCAAAAUAAACAGCCCUCAAAGCUUGUUACUUCCCCUUAAUUUCCUCUCUAAAUAGUAUGGGUAAACAUUAGGCAUGCUUCAUCCUCUCCCAUUCAUUUCUGCAUGCAUACAUGCAACAUAGAUGCAUUAUUUUCUCUCCUCCCUCUUUUCAUCACGCAGAUUAGAUGGACACACCUACUAAAUCGGUAUCCUCUCUUAUGCUGUCCCCUUCUCCUCCUUCAUGCAAGAAUUAUAUCUAUAUCAAUUCCCUUCUCUUAAUUUCCUGCCUCAUCACAUUUGCAUGCCUCUCUAAUUACAAGAUUAAAAGCUGAUGAACAACCAUCCCUCCUCCUCUGCUGAACACGCCAAUCCCUUCUCAUGCAUAAAAUACAUGCAUCUCCUCUUUAGCUCUCUUAAUUCCCUAGACAAAACUCUCUUAAGAGUGCUUCUUUAUUCCACCAAUUUAUUAUUUUUUUCUUCAUCUUGCAAGUAUGCAGCAGCACUACUGCAUCAAGAUGUUGCCCCCUCUCCUCUUCUGGUGCCGACCCCUACCUUUUCCUUAAUGCAAACAGCAGCACUUAAUCCAUUGGCUCACCUUCUUUACAUGCCCCUCAUCAAUCUCUCUUAUCUCUCUCCCCCUUAGUGCAUGAGCUUAACAACACAAAUGUUUUAGGCAUCAAUGGCAUGCAGCCAUUUAUCAUCCCUGGACGCCCUACUCUCCCUCAGCUCUUCAUGCAAAAAUAACAACCACAAAUAAUUGUCAUCUCUAAAUUGCUGGACCUAUCUCUCUUUAUUCACCCUCCUAAUCUCUCCCUCUUAUUUUUACAUAGUUACUCAUUUGAAGAGCAUGGCCUGCAUAGCCGGCCUCCACAUUUUCUUUUCUGCUGCUCUCAAGCCACUCUCUACACCCCAUGCAAAAAUCAGAUGGAUCAAUUCCUUCAUCUCUUAUUUCACAAGGACCACCUCUCUCAAGAGUGCUCAUUUAGUCCAUUAUUUACUCUCUUAAUUUUUCAAAUGCAUGCAUGCAUUCUUUCACAUGGAGAAGCCUUCCCUCUCCUCUCUAUGGCACUGCCUCCUCUCUUUACUCUCACUCAAAAAUACCAUCAGCAUCUGAUUUUUCCUCCCUUAAUUCCCAUGGUCACACAUCCCUCUUUAUUCCUCUAUUGGCAGCACUACUUUACUCCAUUGCUUUCAAUUGCAUGCAUGCACAUAAACAACCAGCCAUACCCCCUCCUCUUUUUCUCACGCAGAAACCAGCAGCACCUCUUUAACUCCUUUUUGAUGGCACCAAUUUUUACUCCAAUUUACUUCACUCCAUUUGCAUGCUCUCAUGCAGCAAACAACAGCUAUAAAACCCCCUCAUCCCCUCCUCUCUCCCUCACGCAAGCACCAGAGAAGGAGCAUCCCAUCUCCUCCCCUCCCUCCAUCAGAUGGGCGCCCCUCAUCCUCUCCUUUUCCCCAUGGCUGCAGCCCCAAAUCCCUCAAAUUCUUCUCCAACAAAAUGGAACCACAUGAUCAAUCAGAGUAUGUUAUGCCGCUGGUUCUAUCUGCUUCUAGGCAUGACAGCAACAAUUGGUGAGAUUUUCUCCUUGUUGUUCAUCUCUUAUAUAUCCCCU
RNAcentral lists this long non-coding RNA (8274 nucleotides) under Sorghum bicolor (sorghum). RNAcentral describes it as "long non-coding RNA (SBIC_LNC010173)". The record is from RNAcentral. Lineage: Eukaryota; Viridiplantae; Streptophyta; Magnoliopsida; Poales; Poaceae.